Molecule: non-coding RNA, 103 nt
Organism: Solanum lycopersicum (tomato)
Lineage: Eukaryota; Viridiplantae; Streptophyta; Magnoliopsida; Solanales; Solanaceae
Source: Rfam
UGAAGAAGAAUACAAGAGUGAUAUUGGUUCGGCUCAUCUCUUAUCUGUUUCGCGAAUCAGAAAUUAGUGAGCCAAACCAAUAUCACGCCAUGUCUUCUUCUUC